ACCAAUUCUAGCCCACACUCCCCCCAUUUCUACUACUACAUUAUAAUCAAAUAAAACAUUCACCAUAUAUUUAAAGUAUAGGAGAUAGAAAUCUAACUACCAAUGGCGCUAUAGAAAUAGUACCGCAAGGGAAAGAUGAAAGAAUAACCUAAAAGUAAUAAAAAGCAAAGCUUACCCCUUGUACCUUUUGCAUAAUGAAUUAACUAGUAAUAACUUAGCAAAGAGACCUUAAGCUAAACUACCCGAAACCAGACGAGCUACUUACGAGCAGUAUCUAGAACAAACUCAUCUAUGUGGCAAAAUAGUGAGAAGACUUAUAAGUAGAGGUGAAAAGCCUAACGAGCCUGGUGAUAGCUGGUUGUCCAUGAAAAGAAUUUCAGUUCAACGUUAAAUAAUACUAAAAGCCAUGCCAAGCCUUAACGUAUAUUUAACCGUUAGUCUAAAAAGGUACAGCUUUUUAGAAGUGGGUACACCCUUAACUAGAGAGUAAAAUAAAUAUCACACCAUAGUUGGCCUAAAAGCAGCCAUCAAUUAAGAAAGCGUUCAAGCUCAACAAUAAAUAAUGUUUUAAUUCCAACAUUAAACAAAUAAACUCCUAGUCUAAAUAUUGGACUAAUCUAUAUAGAUAUAGAAGCAAUACUGUUAACAUGAGUAACAAGAAACUUUUCUCCUAGCAUAAGCUUAUAUCAGUGACUGAUAAUAUACCGAUAAUUAACAGCAAAUAAAUAAAACCCAACACCAAGUUAUUUAACAAGACACUGUUAACCCAACACAGGCAUGCACCUAAGGAAAGAUUAAAAAAAGUAAAAGGAACUCGGCAAACACAAACCCCGCCUGUUUACCAAAAACAUCACCUCUAGCAUAACCAGUAUUAGAGGCACUGCCUGCCCGGUGACUAAUCGUUAAACGGCCGCGGUAUCCUGACCGUGCAAAGGUAGCAUAAUCACUUGUUCUCUAAUUAAGGACUUGUAUGAACGGCCACACGAGGGUUUUACUGUCUCUUACUUUUAAUCAGUGAAAUUGACUUCCCCGUGAAGAGGCGGGGAUAACAAAAUAAGACGAGAAGACCCUAUGGAGCUUCAAUUAAUUAACCCAAAAAUCAUAAUCCCAAACCACCAAGGAAUAACAAAAUUUUAUAUGGGUUAACAAUUUUGGUUGGGGUGACCUCGGAGUAUAAAAAACCCUCCGAGUGAUUAAAGCCUAGACUCACUAGUCAAAGCACAACAUCACUUAUUGAUCCAAUCUCUUGAUCAACGGAACAAGUUACCCUAGGGAUAACAGCGCAAUCCUAUUCUAGAGUCCAUAUCGACAAUAGGGUUUACGACCUCGAUGUUGGAUCAGGACAUCCUAAUGGUGCAGCCGCUAUUAAGGGUUCGUUUGUUCAACGAUUAAAGUCCUACGUGAUCUGAGUUCAGACCGGAGUAAUCCAGGUCGGUUUCUAUCUAUUACGCAUUUCUCCCAGUACGAAAGGACAAGAGAAAUAAGGCCAACUUCAAAUAAGCGCCUUCAAAUAAUUAAUGAUCUAAUCUUAACUUAAUAAUUAAGCGCAAAUAAAUCUGCCCAAGACCAGGGCCUU
This 1576-nucleotide ribosomal RNA is filed under the name Caperea marginata (pygmy right whale). RNAcentral describes it as "16S ribosomal RNA". It matches the Rfam family "Bacterial large subunit ribosomal RNA", at positions 379 to 2854 of the family's 2925-position model. Lineage: Eukaryota; Metazoa; Chordata; Mammalia; Artiodactyla; Neobalaenidae. The record is from RNAcentral.